AUUGGAUUGAGAACAACGUACAAACCUUAUCGAUAAACAAUUGGAGGGCAAGUCUGGUGCCAGCAGCCGCGGUAAUUCCAGCUCCAAUAGCGUAUAUUAACGUUGUUGCAGUUAAAAAGCUCGUAGUUGAAAUGAAGGGUAGUUGUGUAAUGAAUACAUUCGUGUAUUUUGUUAUUCUACUACCCUCCUUCUAAAUUCGAUAUAUGAGUAUUAAUUUACUUGUAUAUGGUUUUAGACAUUUACUGUGAGAAAAUUAGAGUGUUCAAAGCAGGCAUUUGCUUGAAUAUAUUAGCAUGGAAUAAUCAUGUAUGAUUUUCAUGAUGUAUUUGAUUGGUUUGGUUCAUGAGAAUAAGAUUAAAAGGGACAGUUGGGGGUAUUCAUAUUCAAUAGUCAGAGGUGAAAUUCUCGGAUUUAUGGAAGAUGAACAAGUGCGAAAGCAUUUACCAAGGAUGUUUUCAUUAAUCAAGAACGAAAGUUAGGGGAUCGAAGAGGAUUAGAUACCCUCGUA
This 508-nucleotide ribosomal RNA is filed under the name uncultured Blastocystis sp. Its description in RNAcentral is "bacterial SSU rRNA". It matches the Rfam family "Eukaryotic small subunit ribosomal RNA", at positions 508 to 1022 of the family's 1831-position model. Lineage: Eukaryota; Bigyra; Opalinata; Blastocystidae. The record is from RNAcentral.